This is a non-coding RNA of Tulasnella sp. 403, 71 nucleotides long. NCBI's taxonomy places the organism in Eukaryota, Fungi, Basidiomycota, Agaricomycetes, Cantharellales, Tulasnellaceae. The record is from the annotation of a GenBank genome assembly.
AAGGUGUUAGCUGAGUGGUUUAGCAUAAUAUUUACACUAUUAAGACAGGAGUUCGAUUCUCCUACGCCUUA